RNAcentral lists this ribosomal RNA (430 nucleotides) under uncultured bacterium. RNAcentral's name for it is "bacterial SSU rRNA". It matches the Rfam family "Bacterial small subunit ribosomal RNA", at positions 355 to 776 of the family's 1533-position model. The record is from RNAcentral.
UGGGGAAUUGUUCGCAAUGGGCGAAAGCCUGACGACGCAACGCCGCGUGGAGGAUGAAGAUUUUCGGAUCGUAAACUCCUUUCGAUCGGGACGAACGACUGGUGGCCCAAUACGCCAUCAGAGUGACGGUACCGAGAGAAGAAGCCCCGGCUAACUCCGUGCCAGCAGCCGCGGUAAUACGGGGGGGGCAAGCGUUGUUCGGAAUUACUGGGCGUAAAGGGCGCGUAGGCGGCCUGCUAAGUCACACGUGAAAUCCCUCGGCUCAACCGGGGAACUGCGUGUGAUACUGGCGGGCUUGAAUUCGGGAGAGGGAUGUGGAAUUCCAGGUGUAGCGGUGAAAUGCGUAGAUAUCUGGAGGAACACCGGUGGCGAAGGCGGCAUCCUGGACCGAGAUUGACGCUGAGGCGCGAAAGCUAGGGUAGCAAACGGG